GUUGACCUCGGAUCAGUAGGGAUACCCGCUGAACUUAAGCAUAUCAUUAAGCGGAGGA
Molecule: ribosomal RNA, 58 nt
Filed under: Cladosporium cladosporioides
Lineage: Eukaryota; Fungi; Ascomycota; Dothideomycetes; Cladosporiales; Cladosporiaceae
Description: partial 28S ribosomal RNA
Source: RNAcentral